UACGGAGGGUGCAAGCGUUAUCCGGAUUUACUGGGUCUAAAGGGUGCGUAGGCGGAUUUGUAAGUCAGUGGUGAAAGCCUGGAGCUUAACUCCGGAAUUGCCAUUGAUACUGCUUUUCUUGAGUACAGUUGAGGUGGGCGGAAUGUGUCAUGUAGCGGUGAAAUGCUUAGAUAUGACACAGAACACCGAUUGCGAAGGCAGCUCGCUAAACUGUAACUGACGCUGAGGCACGAAAGCGUGGGGAUCGAACAGG
Molecule: ribosomal RNA, 253 nt
Filed under: uncultured bacterium
Lineage: Bacteria
Description: partial 16S ribosomal RNA
Rfam family: Bacterial small subunit ribosomal RNA
Source: RNAcentral